This 211-nucleotide long non-coding RNA is filed under the name Arabidopsis lyrata. RNAcentral's name for it is "long non-coding RNA (ALYR_LNC000445)". The record is from RNAcentral. Lineage: Eukaryota; Viridiplantae; Streptophyta; Magnoliopsida; Brassicales; Brassicaceae.
AACCGCUGUCCACUCCUCUUUAUUCUUCUUCUUUUCGCCUCUUUCCUUAUUUUUCUUUAUUUUCACAAUUUUUAUUUGUCUUGUGAGGCGUUCAGAACCAUGUUUCUUAAAGCCUAUCUUUUUUUUUUUUUUUUCUAAACAAACUUAUCUUUUAUUUUCUUUUCUUUAGUUAAUUUUUUUUUUAGUGUUUGUCGAAUAAAUUAACACGAAG